Molecule: ribosomal RNA, 382 nt
Filed under: uncultured bacterium
Lineage: Bacteria
Description: bacterial SSU rRNA
Rfam family: Bacterial small subunit ribosomal RNA
Source: RNAcentral
UUGGGUUUAAAGGGUCCGUAGGCGGACUCGUAAGUCAGUGGUGAAAUCUCAUAGCUUAACUAUGAAACUGCCAUUGAUACUGCGGGUCUUGAGUAAAGUAGAAGUGGCUGGAAUAAGUAGUGUAGCGGUGAAAUGCAUAGAUAUUACUUAGAACACCAAUUGCGAAGGCAGGUCACUAUGUUUUAACUGACGCUGAUGGACGAAAGCGUGGGGAGCGAACAGGAUUAGAUACCCUGGUAGUCCACGCCGUAAACGAUGCUAACUCGUUUUUGGGUCUUCGGAUUCAGAGACUAAGCGAAAGUGAUAAGUUAGCCACCUGGGGAGUACGUUCGCAAGAAUGAAACUCAAAGGAAUUGACGGGGGCCCGCACAAGCGGUAAUCG